This is a long non-coding RNA of Pieris napi, 1149 nucleotides long. RefSeq lists it as uncharacterized. The record is from RefSeq and is a predicted model, not a curated record. Lineage: Eukaryota; Metazoa; Arthropoda; Insecta; Lepidoptera; Pieridae. The transcript has 2 exons.
UGCUUACAUAAAGAAACAGGUUUCCGGUACAGACAAAUCUGUACGGGUCGGUACCGAUCAGCGCAGGUAUAAUAUUUCAAUAUAAUCCUAUUCACUCACUUAUAAAGAAACAGGUUGUAACUUGUCGGUGCCGACUACCUGGACCGUGCCAUACGGGUUUAAGCAUUUACUGGUGUAGGGUGUGUUUAAUAAUAUUAAAAAUGGAUUUGGAUAACGAAGUUUUGAUAGCCUUAGUGUUUGAUAAACAAUGUUUAUGGGACAAAACUCAUAAGUUCCACAGCAACAGAAAUGUUACAGAUAAGUGUUGGAAAGAGAUCAGUUUGGAAAUGAAACAGGAUGAAAGUAAAAUAAGAAAAAGAUGGAGAUAUCUAAGGGAUCAAUUUGCGGUAUAGUUAGGAAAAAUUUCACCUUCUCGCUCUGGAGAUGAGGCAACUACAGUAUAUCCCAAAUGGCCAUAUUUUAAACCCUUACUUUUUCUCAAACCUAUGGUGAAGGCGCGGCUAACCACUGGAAGUUUGACGCGACAAAGAUCUCAUUCAAAUAGUGCUGUGAGCCUUGAUAGUGAAACAGAAUACACCCAAACUACAAAUGACCAUGAUUGUUCUCUUUCACCUGGACCAAGCAACAUGGAAGAUAAUGAUGCGAGUGACCAACCAACAGUGUCUCCUGCGAUGCCUGUUUCAAAAAUCGCUUUGAAAAGGCCGAAGAGAACAAUCAAUGACAAAUUAUUGGACAUUGAGCAUCAAAAACUUAAAUUUUUACAAGAUAAGGAAAAAUCCCGACAGAAUAGAACAACAGAUGCAGACAACGAACAUAUUUUAUUUUUUAAAAGCCUCAUACCACACAUUGAAAAAAUUCCACAGCACAUGCUACUUUCUUUUAGAAACCGCAUUCAAAGCGUCGUCGACGAGUUCGCGUACCAAUCUUUGCAAUAUGGUAACCCUAGUUCGAUGUCAAACUACUCUCAUUUAAGUAAUGUUUCCCGUAAUAGUACUCCAGAGACCUGCAACGAAAUAACUCUUCCACAAACUUCGAGUGACAAUAUUGCUGUUAUAAGCAACCAAUUAGCCACAGAAGAAUAUAUUUUUCAUUGUGAUUAAAACUACUUACAAAUAAAACAUACUAGCCUACUGAAUGAAUAAAGGUCAA